UGGGGAAUAUUGGACAAUGGGGGGAACCCUGAUCCAGCCAUGCCGCGUGUGUGAAGAAGGCCUUUUGGUUCCGAAGCACUUUAAGCGAGGAGGAGGCUACCGAGAUUAAUACUCUUGGAUAGUGGACGUUACUCGCAGAAUAAGCACCGGCUAACUCUGUGCCAGCAGCCGCGGUAAUACAGAGGGUGCAAGCGUUAAUCGGAUUUACUGGGCGUAAAGCGCGCGUAGGUGGCCAAUUAAGUCAAAUGUGAAAUCCCCGAGCUUAACUUGGGAAUUGCAUUCGAUACUGGUUGGCUAGAGUAUGGGAGAGGAUGGUAGAAUUCCAGGUGUAGCGGUGAAAUGCGUAGAGAUCUGGAGGAAUACCGAUGGCGAAGGCAGCCAUCUGGCCUAAUACUGACACUGAGGUGCGAAAGCAUGGGGAGCAAACAG
RNAcentral lists this ribosomal RNA (429 nucleotides) under uncultured bacterium. RNAcentral describes it as "bacterial SSU rRNA". It matches the Rfam family "Bacterial small subunit ribosomal RNA", at positions 355 to 775 of the family's 1533-position model. The record is from RNAcentral.